Molecule: ribosomal RNA, 482 nt
Filed under: uncultured bacterium
Lineage: Bacteria
Description: partial 16S ribosomal RNA
Rfam family: Bacterial small subunit ribosomal RNA
Source: RNAcentral
AUUGAACGCUGGCGGCAUGCCUUACACAUGCAAGUCGAACGGUAACGCGCCUUCGGGUGCCGACGCGUGGCGAACGGGCGAGUAAUACAUCCGAACGUGCCCGAUCGUGGGGGAUAACGAGGCGAAAGCUUUCCUAAUACCGCAUACGAUCUACGGAUGAAAGCCGGGGACCGCAAGGCCUUGCGCCGCCGGAGCGGCCGAUGGCAGAUUAGGUAGAGGUUGGGGUAAAAGCUUUCCAAGCCGACGAUCUUUACCUGGUCUCAGAGGAUGAUGGGCCACACGAGGAGUGAACCACGGUCAGGAGUCCUACGAGAGGGAGCAGAGGGGAAUUUUGGACAAUGGGCGCGAGCCUGAUCCAGCGGUGCCGCGUGCAGGAUGGCGGCCUUCGGGUCGUAAACUGGUUUUGUAGGGAACGAAAAGCCUUCUUCUAAGACGGGGGGGUCAUGACGGUACCGGAAGAAUAAGCACCGGCUAACUACGUG